Non-coding RNA from Picea glauca (white spruce), 678 nucleotides. Lineage: Eukaryota; Viridiplantae; Streptophyta; Pinopsida; Pinales; Pinaceae. The record is from Rfam.
GGGAUGUUUGAAAAUAUGCUACUCUGUUAAUCUUCAUUUCAAGCUGUCUUGGUUGUACAUAACAAACAAUGUCUUGCUAGAACGGGAUUUUAGUUAUAGAGGAAUACAGAGUAAAGGCUAAUUUGUAAUUCUUCAGCAUGUUCGUCUUUUUCACUUAUGGCUGUUUUUAGUGGGUGGAGCAUUUUGUCUUGUUAAUUAUAUUAACGAAUGAGACCUCAGCCUGCUAACUAGCUAUGUGGGGGUUCCCCUUUGCAACCAACCAACCUCUUAGAGGGGCCAUGGUCUGUGAAGUUUUAAGCAAUAACAGGUCUGUGAAGCCCUUACAUGUUGUGGGCUGCACACACACUACACUGAUGCAGUGAAAGGGUAGCCAUGGAAGUUUGAGGCAAUAGCAGGUCUGUGAUGCCCUUAGAUGUUCUGGGCUGCACACAUGUUACACUGAUGCAGUGAAAGAGUUGUUCUCCCUGUUCGAGAGGACCGGGAAAUCUUCUAAAAUUGCAUCUUGAUGGGAGUAGAUCUUUGCAAUUAUUGAUCAUCAAUGAGGAAUUCCUUAUAAGCACAUAUCAGCAGCUUAUGUUGCCUACGUCUCUGCCAUUUGUACACACCGCCUGACACUUCUGAUCAAAGUCCAACCAUUGAGCAAUUCAAAUUCAAAACAAGAGCCAAUUUCUGAUUGUC